This 95-nucleotide microRNA precursor is filed under the name Sorex araneus (European shrew). Its description in RNAcentral is "miRNA (ENSSARG00000019689.1)". Lineage: Eukaryota; Metazoa; Chordata; Mammalia; Eulipotyphla; Soricidae. The record is from RNAcentral.
UCACCUGGGGAUCUAAUUAAAAGGCAGCUCUUGGUUGGGCAAGUCUAGGGUGGGACAGAUUCUGCCUUUCUAACAAGCUCCCAGGUGAUGCAGCU